GUCCCCAUCGUCUAGAGGCCUAGGACUAGAGGCUUUCAAUCUCUCAACAGGAGUUCGAAUCUCCUUGGGGACGCCA
This 76-nucleotide transfer RNA is filed under the name bacterium. Its description in RNAcentral is "tRNA-Glu". It matches the Rfam family "tRNA". Rfam says of the family: Transfer RNA (tRNA) molecules are approximately 80 nucleotides in length. Their secondary structure includes four short double-helical elements and three loops (D, anti-codon, and T loops). The record is from RNAcentral. RNAcentral also lists the same sequence under 1 other name.